This 468-nucleotide ribosomal RNA is filed under the name uncultured bacterium. RNAcentral's name for it is "partial 16S ribosomal RNA". It matches the Rfam family "Bacterial small subunit ribosomal RNA", at positions 28 to 507 of the family's 1533-position model. The record is from RNAcentral.
GACGAACGCUGGCGGCGUGCUUAACACAUGCAAGUCGAACGGAAAGGCCCUGCUUUUGUGGGGUGCUCGAGUGGCGAACGGGUGAGUAACACGUGAGUAACCUGCCCUUGACUUUGGGAUAACUUCAGGAAACUGGGGCUAAUACCGGAUAGGAGCUCCUGCUGCAUGGUGGGGGUUGGAAAGUUUCGGCGGUUGGGGAUGGACUCGCGGCUUAUCAGCUUGUUGGUGGGGUAGUGGCUUACCAAGGCUUUGACGGGUAGCCGGCCUGAGAGGGUGACCGGCCACAUUGGGACUAAGAUACGGCCCAGACGCCAACGGGAGGCAGCAGUGGGGAAUCUUGCACAACGGGCGGAAGCCUGAUGCAGCAACGCGGCGUGCGGGAUGACGGCCUUCGGGUUAUAAACCGCUUUCGCCUGUGACGAAGCGUGAGUGACGGUAAUGGGUAAAGAAGCACCGGCUAAGUACGUG